RNAcentral lists this ribosomal RNA (505 nucleotides) under Veillonella parvula. RNAcentral's name for it is "bacterial SSU rRNA". It matches the Rfam family "Bacterial small subunit ribosomal RNA", at positions 28 to 500 of the family's 1533-position model. Lineage: Bacteria; Bacillati; Bacillota; Negativicutes; Veillonellales; Veillonellaceae. The record is from RNAcentral.
GACGAACGCUGGCGGCGUGCUUAACACAUGCAAGUCGAACGAAGAGCGACGGAAGCUUGCUUCUAUCAAUCUUAGUGGCGAACGGGUGAGUAACGCGUAAUCAACCUGCCCUUCAGAGGGGGACAACAGUUGGAAACGACUGCUACUACCGCAUACGAUCUAAUCUCGGCAUCGAGGAUGGAUGAAAGGUGGCCUCUACAUGUAAGCUAUCACUGAAGGAGGGGAUUGCGUCUGAUUAGCUAGUUGGAGGGGUAACGGCCCACCAAGGCGAUGAUCAGUAGCCGGUCUGAGAGGAUGAACGGCCACAUUGGGACUGAGACACGGCCCAGACUCCUACGGGAGGCAGCAGUGGGGAAUCUUCCGCAAUGGACGAAAGUCUGACGGAGCAACGCCGCGUGAGUGAUGACGGCCUUCGGGUUGUAAAGCUCUGUUAAUCGGGACGAAAGGCCUUUCUUGCGAGUAGUGAGAAGGAUUGACGGUACCGGAAUAGAAAGCCACGGGCUAA